GCGGGUGUAUCUCAGUGCUAGAGCACAUGCUUAGCAUGCAUGAGGUCCUGGAUUCAAUCCCCAGUCCCUCCA
RNAcentral lists this transfer RNA (72 nucleotides) under Camelus bactrianus (Bactrian camel). It matches the Rfam family "tRNA". From Rfam's summary of the family: Transfer RNA (tRNA) molecules are approximately 80 nucleotides in length. Their secondary structure includes four short double-helical elements and three loops (D, anti-codon, and T loops). Lineage: Eukaryota; Metazoa; Chordata; Mammalia; Artiodactyla; Camelidae. RNAcentral also lists the same sequence under 2 other names. The record is from Rfam by way of RNAcentral.